CUCAGGCUUAGGCUUAGGCUUAGGUUUAGGCUAGGGCUUUGGUUUAUGCUAGGG
Molecule: small RNA, 54 nt
Filed under: Caenorhabditis elegans
Lineage: Eukaryota; Metazoa; Nematoda; Chromadorea; Rhabditida; Rhabditidae
Description: Unclassified non-coding RNA Y39G10AR.27
Source: RNAcentral